This 25-nucleotide microRNA is filed under the name Haemonchus contortus (barber pole worm). RNAcentral describes it as "hco-miR-5929". Lineage: Eukaryota; Metazoa; Nematoda; Chromadorea; Rhabditida; Trichostrongylidae. The record is from miRBase by way of RNAcentral.
UGAAUCGCUUUGUUCACUUUCAUGG